AUGAGGCUUGCUACUCCAAUUCUGGGACUGGUCAUGCUCUGGAACUCUGUGUUCAGUCAGGAUAUUGUGCUGACGCAGAGUCCAGUCUCCCUGUCCAUCACUCUUGGGGACUCAGCCACUAUAACAUGCAAGACAAGCCUUCCAGAAGAUUAUGGGGAUUACGCCUAUCUAAACUGGUACCAGCAGAAACCAGGCCAGGCUCUAAAGCCACUGAUCUAUACAGUUUCUAACCGGGGACCUGGGGUCCCAGACAGGUUCAUUGGCAGUGGGUCAGGAGCAGAUUACAUGCUUAAGAUCAACACAGUAGAGGAUGAAGAUGCUGCAGUUUAUUACUGCCAGCAAAAUGAAAGAUUCCCUCCCACAGUGGUAUAUCCUUGUACAUAA
Non-coding RNA from Chrysochloris asiatica (Cape golden mole), 384 nucleotides. The record is from the annotation of a RefSeq genome assembly. NCBI's taxonomy places the organism in Eukaryota, Metazoa, Chordata, Mammalia, Afrosoricida, Chrysochloridae.